AUGAAGCCACACAUGUCCGCUACGGUACUGAGAGCCCCGAGGGUGGCGGCCGUGGUCCUGGCGGCGGUGCUCGCCACGGCCGUGAACGGCGCCCAGAGGUGCGGCGACCAGGCCCGCGGCGCAAAGUGCCCCAACUGCCUCUGCUGCGGUAAAUACGGCUUCUGCGGCAGUGGCGACGCCUACUGCGGCGCCGGCAGCUGCCAGAGCCAGUGCCGCGGCUGCCGGGACGACGUCGUGGGGCAGGCGUUGCCGGCCGAACCGGGUUCUACAAGAGCUACUGCGGCGUCCUCGGCGUCGGCCAGGGGAUUAAACUUGACUGCUACAACCGGAGGCCCUUGA
This 339-nucleotide ribosomal RNA is filed under the name Triticum aestivum (bread wheat). RNAcentral's name for it is "partial small subunit ribosomal RNA". Lineage: Eukaryota; Viridiplantae; Streptophyta; Magnoliopsida; Poales; Poaceae. The record is from RNAcentral.